CUUGUACACACCGCCCGUCACACCAUGGGAGUUGGUUCUACCCGACGGCCGUGCGCUAACCUUUUGGAGGCAGCGGACCACGGUAGGAUCAGCGACUGGGGUGAAGUCGUAACAAGGUAGCCUGU
Molecule: ribosomal RNA, 125 nt
Filed under: Paracoccaceae bacterium
Lineage: Bacteria; Pseudomonadati; Pseudomonadota; Alphaproteobacteria; Rhodobacterales; Paracoccaceae
Description: Rhodobacteraceae bacterium (freshwater metagenome) partial 16S ribosomal RNA
Rfam family: Bacterial small subunit ribosomal RNA
Source: RNAcentral